CGGGUGAGUAACACGUGAGCAACCUGCCUUUCAGAGGGGGACAACAGUUGGAAACGACUGCUAAUACCGCAUAAAAUAACGGAACCGCAUGAUUCUGUUAUCAAAGGAGAAAUCCGCUGAAAGAUGGGCUCGCGUCUGAUUAGAUAGUUGGUGAGGUAACGGCCCACCAAGUCGACGAUCAGUAGCCCGACUGAGAGGUUGAACGGCCACAUUGGGACUGAGACACGGCCCAGACUCCUACGGGAGGCAGCAG
Molecule: ribosomal RNA, 253 nt
Filed under: uncultured bacterium
Lineage: Bacteria
Description: partial 16S ribosomal RNA
Rfam family: Bacterial small subunit ribosomal RNA
Source: RNAcentral